CGCAGAGGUAAAGACGUGCCCCGCUAUCUUCGCUAAAACUCACCGGCCCCGAGACACACGGGAAGGAGUAACCUGAAGACCAGUCCACACACCACCUCAGAAGCCAUCGCUUUGGGGAGCCUGUGUCGAAGUCCAGGGAAGUCCAAAUUCACAUCUCUCCUGAUCGCCCGGGCCCCAGCUGGCUGUAGUGCAUUAGGGCCUGCUGAGAGGUAAGACGAGCAUCGUGGGAGUCCUCCAGGCUGAGCCAAACGACCCGCUGGACAGGAGGCUCCUACAGCAGACACGGAGACGCAGUGUCCUCCAACCAGCUCAAGCCGUACUUACUGUGAGUCAUCGCUUGGCCUAAUCACUGACAUGGAUACGGGUUAUGAAAAUAAGAGAAAAGAACAACAAGUUGCUAAUGAGGAAAAAAUGACUUCGAGACAUCAUCAACAUGCUCGUUGCCAACCACUGGCCCGGAGCAUGACUUUUCCCUGGCUUGCCCAGGCAGGGCAGAAAUUCUGCAUCAACACACAACUCUACUGCGGUUGGGUUGUCGCACAAGGACCGUAAACAAGUCAACGUAGAGCCCGAACUGACGCCAGCUAAUCAAUAGUCAACCUCAAAUUCAAAAAAUAAAAUAAAAUAAAGAUGGUCGUUGAUUUGUCUCUGUUGUUUGAAGUUUGGCCGACCAAACCGUUUGGAUAAAUGGGU
Long non-coding RNA from Lampris incognitus (smalleye Pacific opah), 693 nucleotides. RefSeq lists it as uncharacterized. The transcript has 3 exons. The record is from RefSeq and is a predicted model, not a curated record. NCBI's taxonomy places the organism in Eukaryota, Metazoa, Chordata, Actinopteri, Lampriformes, Lampridae.